This 366-nucleotide unclassified non-coding RNA is filed under the name Cordylanthus eremicus subsp. eremicus. RNAcentral's name for it is "partial external transcribed spacer". Lineage: Eukaryota; Viridiplantae; Streptophyta; Magnoliopsida; Lamiales; Orobanchaceae. The record is from RNAcentral.
UUCAGUUGUUGGCCCGAGUACUUCUCGGCCAUUGUCGGUUUCUUGUGCUGGAUACCUACUGGGAGGGCAUUCUUCGGUCGGAAAUGAUGGGCUUCCGCCUUUCGCUGCGCCCAACGUGGAUGCGGUGUCGGGUGGACCUUGAAGCACGCUUCGUGAACCAUGCCCCUUGCACAACAAUGUGCUCGGGUUGUUGGUCCAUGCUGUCGUGCGCGAACUCUCGGAUACGGAACCUUGUGCGGGCACGAGGUCCUUGGCCUCUAUCAUGCCCAAACUUCGAGCGUCCUAUGCUUCGUGCGAAAGACUGCCGCUUGCGUGUGGAACGGGCCCUUGCGGCUUUGCUCAUGCGCUUGCGGUGUCCGUUGGGAA